GUUAGAGAGAGGGGGAUAGACAAGAGCCUCUCAGAGACCCUGGGGGGAGAUGGUGGGAGAGAUGAUGACAUGCGAAGAAUCACACUAGACGAUUGUUCUAAAAAAUUUGCAUGAACUUCUCAUUCUCUGAGCAUUGUCGUUUUCGUUGAACCUGCGUUCGAGUUUUUUCUGCAUCACCUCCCUUUGUUACUGCGAGCCAAAUCAGUGCAGAUGAACCGCUUGGGGCUGAAAUCCGUGGUCUACCACGGUGACUUGCGGUUAGGGGAACUGGAUGUUAUCCCUGUCAAGGGCCAGAAUUUCCAGUUCCCAAACAACGAGAUUCGAAUUCGCCAUAUAUCGCCGAGGAGUGAGCGCUGUCCUCCUCUUUCAAUAUUGCAAACGAUUUCUGCAUUCUCUGUUCGAUGCAAGCUCGAGUCAUCACUGCCUAUUGAACAACCUCAUUUGAUCAAUCUUCACGCUUCGUGUUUUUAUGAAUUGAAGACGGCGGUGGCAUUAGUUGGGGAUGAAGAAAUUCACUUGGUGGCUAUGCCGAGUAAGAGGAAGAAGUUUCCAUGCUUCUGGUGCUACUCAGUUCCUGUGGGUCUAUUCAAUGCAUGCUUGGGGUUGUUGAAUCUGCGGUGUCUUGCGAUUGUGUUUGAUUUGGACGAGACCCUCAUCGUUGCAAAUACCAUGAAGUCAUUUGAAGAUAGAAUUGAGGCCCUGCGAAGUUGGCUUGCUCGUGAGACUGAUCCGCUGCGAGUGGCCGGAAUGUCUGCGGAACUUAAGCGUUACAUGGAUGAUCGUACACUUUUGAAGCAGUACACGGAAAGCGACUGUGUCGUCGAUAAUGGAAAGUUAGUCAAGGUUCAAUUGGAAGAGGUGCCUCCAUUGUCUGAUAACCAUGAGAAAGGUGUUCGGCGUCCUGUCAUUAGAUUGCAAGACAAGAAUAUAGUCCUCACUCGCAUCAACCCAGAGAUUCGAGAUACUAGUGUGCUAGUAAGGUUGCGACCUGCUUGGGAGGAUUUGAGAUGCUACUUAACUGCAAAAGGACGGAAACGGUUUGAAGUAUAUGUUUGUACUAUGGCUGAAAGGGAUUAUGCCUAUGAAAUCUGGAGACUUCUUGACCCUGAGGAACAUCUUAUAGGUUCAAAGCAACUCCUAGAUCGUGUUAUUUGUGUCAAAUCAGGCUCCCGAAAAUCUUUACUGAAUGUCUUCCAACGUAAUAUGUGCCAUCCAAAAAUGGCAAUGGUGAUUGAUGACCGUUCAAAGGUUUGGGAAGACAAGGACCAACCCAGGGUUCAUGUAGUUCCUGCCUUUACUCCUUAUUAUGCUCCACAGGCAGAGACGGCCAGUGCUGUUCCUGUCCUGUGUGUAGCAAGAAAUGUAGCAUGCAAUGUCAGAGGCUGUUUUUUCAAAGAGUUUGAUGAGAAUUUACUUCAAAGAAUUUCUGAAAUUUUCUAUGAAGAUGAGGUUGCAAAUUUACCAAAACCUCCCGAUGUGAGUAACUACUUGAUGUCUGAGGAUGUGCCUAAUGGUAGUGUGAAUGCCCCCAUCAUUGAGGGAAUAAAUGGUGUAGAAGCUGAACAGAGGGAUGAGAAGUCUUCUGUUGAUUUGCCCACUCGAUCUAUGGCCAACAAUGUUGAGCUGAAACCUGAAACCUCUCAACUACCUGCUGGUGUAAUUUCAAACGUUAUAUACCCUAUGUCUUCCCCCACCUUCAUUCCUUCUCAGAAGCCUGGUUUGCUUGGACCUCCGAUCAAGCAUGAAGGAAGCUCUGUUAAUCAUGAUUAUGACGUGAAAAAGGGACUAUUGACAACGAGGCAUAUUCCAGAUAUAAGAAUUCAAAGUUCAGGGGAACCCCCUCUUAUAUCAAGGCCUCCCACUCAAGCAUCACCAUCUUUAAUGCAUCCACAUGGAGGCAGGUUGGUAGAAGAUGAUAGCAAAGCUCAGCUAAAUAUUCGACCUUCUGUACCGGUUAAUGUAAAGUUUGAAAAGCAUCAGCUUCAGCUGAAACCUUUGUCUCAGAGUAUGCUGACUUCAGCUUCUAAUCCUUCAUUUUCACAAGCAUCACUAGGGAAGAGUGAAGAGGCAAGUUCUGCCCGUGAUUUGCAUAGGCAAACUCUUCCAUCUCCAUCCCUGCUAGCAGAGUAUGAUGCAUCUCAGGAUCAUACGUCUUCCAUUAACAGAGAAUUUCAAAGUGAGGUGGGAAAAUUGAACUUCUUACCUGCUCUGUCUAUUGGAGUGCUGCAAGAAAUUGGAAGGCGAUGUAAUUCUAAGGUUGAAUUUAGGUCCAUUGUAAGCACCAGCAAGGACUUGCAUUUUUCAAUGGAGGUGCUAUUCACCGGUGAGAAAAUAGGCGUUGGAAUGGGUAAGACAAGGAAGGAUGCACAACAGCAAGCUGCCGAGAAUGCCCUCCGUAGUCUAGCAGAGAAGUAUGUUGCACAUAUGGAACCUAGAUUUGGAGCAGUUGAUAGAGAAUUUGACAAACUCUCUCUCGGACAUGAAAAUGGUUUCUUAUGGGAUGACGUUAGUCCUGAAACCAAUGAACUGCUGGGAGAUGGGCUGCCUAAAGAAAGUGCUUCUGAGGUUUUGAAUGGUGAAAAUAAGGUCUCUUCUGCUAAUGCAGCCAAUCUGCAAUUGGAAAAACGUGCCAGCUCACCCAGAUUGGAUCAGUCUGUUGCUAGCAAACGAUUUAAGGAAUGAAAGGGUCGCAAAACUCUGACGAAGUACAGUUAGGGCAGCAGCAACACGGAACAAUAGGCAUAUACUAAUUCAUCGGAACGCAUACAAUGAGUUUCAAAAAAGAUUUCAAUUUCAAUGGCUGUUAUUUGCCAAGUCAUAUCGCAAUAUCUCUAGCAUAGCAUUUGACGAUAUGCUGAGACAAAUCUUUGCAUAUGCAUGAAUUGUAUGGCAUACUAUUGAUCAGGAGAGGGGAAAUCUACUUUUUGAGCCUAUGAAGGAAAAAGAUGCACCCGGAUAAGGUUUGUUCAUGAGCCGGGUUACUGAAACAUGAAGAUGAAUCUGAGACCUCUUUUUUGGUGUUCGAAUCAUAAACACCGGUGAUUCUUUAUGAUGACUUUUUAGAAGUGUCAAGCUGGAGGAAGGGAUUCUGCUAUUUAGUCCCUGCAAGUUGUGAGGUGAUCCUGAAGUCUUUGCAGGCUUCACUUUCAGCUUUCAAGCUUCCAAGGCAAGUGGGCUGUUUGUUCACAAGAGUCCAAGAAGGUUGGCUUCUCGCAAAAUCUUUUAGAUUUUCUUAGAUGAAUUUAAUUUGAAAAAUGACUGAUUUAACAUUGGCCCUGUGGAUGGGAGGUUUAGAUACGAAUUUUGGUGUAAAAUGUUUUGUUCGAGGAAGGCCAACCGGAGGACAAAUAUCACUCUAUUCCUAUGUAACUUGGAUUUUAUAAGAUAUUGGGUAUUUAAAAUGCUAGUCAUUUUACC
Molecule: RNA transcript, 3417 nt
Organism: Neltuma alba
Lineage: Eukaryota; Viridiplantae; Streptophyta; Magnoliopsida; Fabales; Fabaceae
Gene name: RNA polymerase II C-terminal domain phosphatase-like 2
Exons: 17
Source: RefSeq, a predicted model, not a curated record